UGGAUUGGUGCCUUCGGGAACUGUGAGACAGGUGCUGCAUGGCUGUCGUCAGCUCGUGUUGUGAAAUGUUGGGUUAAGUCCCGCAACGAGCGCAACCCUUAUCCUUUGUUGCCAGCGGUCCGGCCGGGAACUCAAAGGAGACUGCCAGUGAUAAACUGGAGGAAGGUGGGGAUGACGUCAAGUCAUCAUGGCCCUUACGACCAGGGCUACACACGUGCUACAAUGGCGCAUACAAAGAGAAGCGACCUCGCGAGAGCAAGCGGACCUCAUAAAGUGCGUCGUAGUCCGGAUUGGAGUCUGCAACUCGACUCCAUGAAGUCGGAAUCGCUAGUAAUCGUGGAUCAGAAUGCCACGGUGAAUACGUUCCCGGGCCUUGUACACACCGCCCGUCACACCAUGGGAGUGGGUUGCAAAAGAAGUAGGUAGCUUAACCUUCGGGAGGGCGCUUACCACUUUGUGAUUCAUGACUGGGGUGAAGUCGUAACAAGGUAACCGUAGGGGAACCUGCGGUUGGAUCACCUCCUU
RNAcentral lists this ribosomal RNA (525 nucleotides) under Escherichia coli. Its description in RNAcentral is "bacterial SSU rRNA". It matches the Rfam family "Bacterial small subunit ribosomal RNA", at positions 1007 to 1532 of the family's 1533-position model. Lineage: Bacteria; Pseudomonadati; Pseudomonadota; Gammaproteobacteria; Enterobacterales; Enterobacteriaceae. The record is from RNAcentral.